CCAGCCUACGGGGGGCAGCAGUGAGGAAUAUUGGUCAAUGGGCGGAAGCCUGAACCAGCCAAGUCGCGUGGGGGAAUAAGGCCCUACGGGUCGCAAACCUCUUUUGCCGGGGAGCAAGGGCCGGGACGAGUCCCGGUCCGGAGAGUACCCGGAGAAAAAGCAUCGGCUAACUCCGUGCCAGCAGCCGCGGUAAUACGGAGGAUGCGAGCGUUAUCCGGAUUUAUUGGGUUUAAAGGGUGCGUAGGCGGGCUUUUAAGUCAGUGGUAAAAAUUCGGGGCUCAACCCCGUCCGGCCGUUGAAACUGG
Molecule: ribosomal RNA, 305 nt
Filed under: uncultured bacterium
Lineage: Bacteria
Description: bacterial SSU rRNA
Rfam family: Bacterial small subunit ribosomal RNA
Source: RNAcentral